RNA transcript from Humulus lupulus (European hop), 5548 nucleotides. It is a transcript of the gene named regulatory-associated protein of TOR 1-like, with no coding region annotated. The transcript has 3 exons. NCBI's taxonomy places the organism in Eukaryota, Viridiplantae, Streptophyta, Magnoliopsida, Rosales, Cannabaceae. The record is from RefSeq and is a predicted model, not a curated record.
AAUAAGAACAAGCACUACACCAAAAAUCACUUUCCACAACACAUGAAUAUAAUACUAUUAAAAAAGUAUUAUAUUUUAAGAAGCGACAAAGGUCCGAAAUUUAAAAUGUCUCCCGCCUCUUCGCUCACUAAAAAAAUGAGCCCCAAUUUUCUUUUCUCAUUUCCCUUCUCAAUACCCCAAAACCGAAAUCCCCAUUUCUCAGCAGAGGUUCGUUUGGGUUUCCCCAAAUCCCCAUUUCUCUCAUUUCCCGAAAUCCCUAAAACUCAUUUUCCCCCAAAUUACUCUGCUGCCUCAUGCAUGCCGCCUGGAUGCUCACCCCGCCUGUGAAGGUUCUCUCCCCUUCAUCUCUCUAUCUUUUCUCUCUCAGGUGUGUCUUCUCCAUCUCUCUCUUUGGUUCUUCUCCUCUAUGGACAACAUCUCACCAUCUCUCUCUCAAUUUUUUUUGGACUCACCGAGUAUGUGUGUGAAUCUCCUUUGUUAUUUCGGUUAUAUAUAUAUAUGAUCAAAACUUCUCCUUCGACCCUAUUUCAGCAGGUAAUUUUAUUAUAUGUCUUGUUUUUUUUUUGUUUUCUCUGUUUUAUAUAUAUAUGUCAUUUCAGUUUUAUAUAUAUGUAAGUUUAUUAUAUGUUAUUUCGGUGUUAUGUAUAUGUAUAUAAGCUAAUCUGUUUAUUGGUGGGAUUGGUAUUUUGUGUGCAUAUUUGUAAAAGCUAAGCAUUUGCAUUUUAUCUUGUUUUGAUUUUCUUGAUUUUUUUUUGUUUUUAGAUUUGUGUUUUUCUUGGGCUCUCAAUCUCUACCUCUUUGACUGUUCUCUUUUGCUCAUAGGUAAAAUAAUAUAUAUAUUAAGUUUACUUUUGUCAAUGAGAUUUGAAAUUUGUUCUUGUGUUGGGUGUGGUUCGGAUACAAUAUCUCAAAUUUGCUGGGAGUUUUGGAGUUCAGCCAUGAGAAUAAUUGGGGGGUUUUUCACUAGGAGUGAAAUAGAACUCAAAGUGUAUGACAUAUUGAUUUAAAGAGAAAAAUAGAGUUGUUUUGGAAUUUUGAAUGCAGUGGUUAGUUAUUUAUCUUAUGUUUUUGGACACAGCUGGAUUAGAUAGCAGAUUUGUAUCUCUCUUUCUCUUCUUACGUUUCAAGUGUUUCAAAUGUAAUGGUUCAACAUGUCAAUGGUCUAUUAUUAACUUAGCUUUAAUGCUCAUGUUAUGUCUGCAAUUUAGGUUGUUUCAAUUAAUUUGGUUUUCAAUUUCUGUUUAUGUGGUUGAUGUACAUAACAUUUUGAAGUGGUACAAUCCGGUAUGAGAACCAAGUAUUUCAUGAACAAAAAAAAAACUUUGGUAUUCCAAAUAGGGUAAGAAAGAUGUUGAAGUGCAUGCGUUCAGGGGAGCAAGUGAAAAUGGAUGAAAUUGAUCAUUCAUCAGACUCUCUGGCCACUAGGGACUAUUCAGCAAGUGGGUUUCGUCUCCUCCAGGAGAAGCGGAUCCAAAGGUUGAUAAUAGCAAUAUUGAAGAGGCCGAGUCUUCUCUUCGUGAAAGUAGUUAUCUAAACUAUGAGGUCCGUUUUUUCUUAAUUUUUUUGUCAAAAAAAAUUAAUAAUAUAUAAAUUUAUUAGCUUGGUUUGCAACUUUUUCUUUUUGGUGAUAUGACUCAAUAAUUAAGUAAAUGGACCCACAAGCAUUGAGUUAUUUGUGUAAAGUAGUAUUUGAAAUCCAUAGUAAAAUUAUACGCGGUACUUUUUGUUCACUAUCUUCACAAGCAAACUGAUCAUAUAUAAAAGGUUUUGAUUAUAGAGCCAAAAAAAAUAAAUAAAAAAGUUGGUACAAUAAUAGAAAGAAUAAGAGCAGAAAAUAUAUAUACAUUUUUAUGGGUGCAUUGUGUAACUAUCAUAUUUUGCUUGGUUUUAUUUUCUGAUGGAAUUUACAGUUGCUGAUAGAUUUUUGGGACCAAGGACUAGUUCUUUUGUUAAUCUUUGAAGAUGCUUCAUUUUCCAUCAUUUAUAUUCGAUGAUAAUGCACAAUAAAUUUACAUUUUUAAUAAACGUAUGACAGUAUACACACACACACAUGCAUCACAUAGUUUUGACUAGUGGUCAUCAUUUUAAACAGUUUCUGCAUUUAUCAUUGUUCACUUCAUGAAGACCUUAAAAUAAUAAUAUAAACAAAUAAGUAUUUAUCUUAGUUUUCCAUUUUCUUCUUUUGAAGUUUUCAAUGUAUCAUUUAAGAAAAGACUGUAAGUUUGUUGUUGUGGUGGCAAGAACUUUUACUUUGUUCUGGGAUAGAUUUAGUACUAAAACCAAUAUAAAUGUCUGCUUCUAUGUUGGUUUUCUGCUAGCAUGAAUUGAAGUCUAUAAGAUGCAGCAUCAGGAAUAGAUAUGAUAUGGUCUUAUUGUGGCUACUUUAACUUUUACCUAAAUAAGUUUUUAUAUAUAUAAAAAAAAUCAAUUAUACAUGUAUAUGUAUAAUAUUUUUCCAAUCAGGACAUUUUUUCUCUAUAAAUAUUAGGCUAACAAAUAAGAUCUAUAUAAAUACCUAGAGACUAGAAUAUUAGGCGCAUGUAUAACUAUGACGAUGUGUGAUCUUUCGAAAUGGUCAGAGGGACAUAUUAUAUAAUGACAAUUUCUUACAUAAUAAGCUAGAAGGAUAGGUGGUCUUUUGAAAUGGAUAGUGGACAUAUUACUGGUUUACUUCUGCAUGGUAUAUUUUGCUACUCUUGUGGAGUGGCAGGAAUUCUUCUCAGUUGGUCAUAUUAGCUGGCAAGUUGCAUUUUCACUAUAACAUAUAUACUAAAAUCCUAAGCUUAUUUACUAUCAUUGCUAUUAUUGCUGUUGUAGCUCUAGAUCUGUAAAAUUAAAUUGAAGGUUUUAACCGAACACUCGGGGAAAAGUAUGAGUUGCUACUUCUGUUUCCCUCUAAUUCAUUUUGAGAGCAUGUGAACAGUUGAUAAUAAGAUAACAACACCUUAACUUAGAUUAUACUCUGGUAAUAGUGUUUUUUUUUCAACUAUAAUAAUAUUAAUAAUUGAGUUAUUAUUAUUAUUUAACAAUUGAAAUUGUAGACAACCUAGUUGAGUUUGAAUAUGCAGGGAUUUGACUAUAAUGUAAAGAAAUAUUGAUGAAUCUCACAACCAAGUAAAGAAAUUUGUAUGAAUUCUCAGUUUUCAUAUCCACCACGACAUCAUUUUUUCUGCUCUUUUAAUUGUUAACAGAAAUAUAUUCAAUAGGACCCUAUUAAUAAUCACUAUUCUCUGCUAUGAUUAUUUGUGGGUGUGGUGCACAAUGUUUUAGUACUGUUGUUAAAGCAGCCAAGAACAGAUGACACUACAUUUGCUUUUGUUUCGUUUUGGCAAAGUUUGCUUAAUCACUCUAAAUGCAUAAUGAGUUUCUUAAUGUUUGACAAUUCAGCCCUUAAAAUAAAUCUAUCAAGUCCUUAAGUUCUAUAAAUAGUAGCAAUUAGCUCCUUAUUAUUUAUUUUUUCACAAAUUUCAUAAUUUAUUAAGAAAAAAAUUAAUUAAUCCUAAAAUUUAGAGAUCAUAAAAGACAAGGUUGAUGGCUGCAUAUAUAAGAAUAUAUAAUCAUCUUUAUUAUAUUAGUUAAUUAAGUCUCCUUGAAAUGUUAUUGGAAUGAAAAUAAGAAAAUUCACUUGUACCAUUUUCAAUUACUUUGCAAAGUUGUCUGAUAACAAUGUUAGCUUUUGACUGGGUAAAAUGUUUGACAAUUAUUAAGAUGUGAACUUAAUUUCUAAUUAUGAUUCAAUGGAUGAAUAUGAUGUUCAACAUAUAAAUAAUUGGUCUGAACUAUCAAUCGAUUUAUUUCGAAAGAUAAUAAUCAAUAUCUAAGUGUAUUCUAUAUAAAUUGGUGCUAGAGUUAUUUGAUGAAUAAUCAAUAACUCAGUAAAGUAUUGUGAUACUUUUUGGGUGAAGAUGUUAAUAAUACUUUAUUUAUUUAAAGUAUUUUUUUUAAAAUACAUAUGUAUAUAUUACGUACGUUGGUUUCUAUAUAUGUAUUUAUUAAUUUUAUUUGCUCAAACAAUGUUUGUUGUGUUUACAGUAACCAUAGGUAGAUGAUAACAAUGAUGUAACUUUCAUAUAUAUGAUCAACUGGUUUUUUAUGUAUAUUAUUCCAAUAAUAUGACUCUUUGAAAGUUUGAAGAGAAUUCAAUUGCGACCAACUUGGUUAUAAGGAUUGGAUUUGGAUGGACAAAUUAUAAAUAGACGACUCAACUAUACAUCCAAUUAUAUUUCGUUGUUAUCCUAAGAUGGGAAAUUGGUUUCUCCUUUGGGUUAUACUUCUUCUUUCUCAUUCUCUAAUCCAUUUAUCUUCAUUAUCUCCUUUACCUUCUCCCUUGUGUCAUUAUGCUGAUAGCCCUGCUUUGCUACAGUUCAGAAACUCAUUUUCCAUCAAUCUUCCUGAAUAUUUUUUAGUUUUUGUUAUAUAUGAUUAUAUAUAUAUAGAGAGAGAAUGAAUGUAUGCCAAAUUUAUCUGUUGGAUUGGAUGUUCUGUAUUUUUCAUUAUGUAUAGUUGGAGUGGAGUGGAGUGGAGUGCAAAGACUGUAGAUUAAGACCUGAAAACAAUAAUAUUCCUUGGAGAUGUACACUACAUGUCUACAGCCACAGGAUCAUCAAAGCUCAUCAUGGCAUGGGGUUCAAUGGAAGAAGAAACAAAAACAAAACUAGGAGAAGGGACAGAAGAGCGAAAGUAACAUUGUAUGGACUCACAAGUCACAACAUGGGAACCCAUCUCCAGAUAUUGACUUUGAAUUUGAAAGUUUGCUCAAUUUUGAAAGCUUCCCAUCUCUAGAUUCCAAUUCUGGGAUUGGAAGGAUUACCAAAUCAAGAUGGAAAACUCAAACUAUUUCUUGGAGUUUGGAAGAGAUCUACAAACAUUAAGGAUGUUUGUCUGUUUUUUUGCAUUAAAAAGUGGUUUUGCAGACGCUCAUUACUACAUGAAUCUCUUGAUGAGUCGCUAAUUGAUAAAAUCCCGGGCUGCCAAAAUGACCGCAAAACACUUUUGGGGGAAUUAAAUUGGAUUUUCACUGCAGUGACUGAUACCAUUGCAUGGAACAUUCUGCCACAUGGUAAAAUUUGAAGAAUGCCUUUUAUACUUAUCUAUAGGUGUUACAGAGCUGCUUCUGUAACACGGAGUUUAUGACAGAGGAGCUACAGUGUCCUGAAUUUUUAAUAUGUACAGUUUAUGAUUGUUUGUUUCUUAGAAAUUUUUCCCUUAGCUUGAUUUUUUUGAUGGAUAUUUGGAGACUAUGAAAAGAGAUCUAGUUCAACUGUAGAGUGGCAAACAAGUUAUUAAUUAUGAUUCAACAAGUCAAGUGCAAAAGAAAAUCUGAUUUGGAAGGCUUUGGUGUGCUGAUAUUUGGAAGAUUAUGAAUUCCUACCUUUACUUUUGAAUAUGCAACUGUUUAAAACUAUUUUGUUGAUUAUUGUGAGAAUUUUUUUUAUGUUAAUUAGACAGUGUCUAAUAUCUUAAGACUUUUGGAUUAUUUUUUAGAUAAUCUUGAAUGUAUUUUGACACAAUUAUUUGAUUAUAUGUGUUAUGAACCAUAUAAUUGGUA